UACGUAGGUGGCAAGCGUCAUCCGGAUUUAUUGGGCGUAAAGGGAACGCAGGCGGUCUUUUAAGUCUGAUGUGAAAGCCUUCGGCUUAACCGGAGUAGUGCAUUGGAAACUGGGAGACUUGAGUGCAGAAGAGGAGAGUGGAACUCCAUGUGUAGCGGUGAAAUGCGUAGAUAUAUGGAAGAACACCAGUGGCGAAAGCGGCUCUCUGGUCUGUAACUGACGCUGAGGUUCGAAAGUGUGGGUAGCAAACAGG
Molecule: ribosomal RNA, 253 nt
Filed under: uncultured bacterium
Lineage: Bacteria
Description: partial 16S ribosomal RNA
Rfam family: Bacterial small subunit ribosomal RNA
Source: RNAcentral